This 118-nucleotide small nuclear RNA is filed under the name Tupaia belangeri chinensis (Chinese tree shrew). RNAcentral describes it as "Tupaia chinensis (Chinese tree shrew) U2 spliceosomal RNA". It matches the Rfam family "U2 spliceosomal RNA". From Rfam's summary of the family: U2 is a small nuclear RNA (snRNA) component of the spliceosome (involved in pre-mRNA splicing). The record is from Rfam by way of RNAcentral. Lineage: Eukaryota; Metazoa; Chordata; Mammalia; Scandentia; Tupaiidae.
AUUGCUUCUCAGCCUUUUAGCCAAGAUCAAGUGUAGUCAUCUGCUCUUACUAGUUUAAAAUAAAUCUUUAGUUCAUGAGGGAAAAUGUAUCAAUUUUAUAGUUUAAAGGAUAACUUUC